RNAcentral lists this ribosomal RNA (525 nucleotides) under Triticum aestivum (bread wheat). RNAcentral describes it as "partial small subunit ribosomal RNA". The record is from RNAcentral. Lineage: Eukaryota; Viridiplantae; Streptophyta; Magnoliopsida; Poales; Poaceae.
AUGAGACAACCACCUGGGUAUGAGAGUAAGAAAUUGCCACAGUAUGUCUGCAAGCUUGAUAAAGCACUCUAUGGUCUAAAGCAAGCACCCAGAGCAUGGUAUUCCAGAUUGAGCUCACAGUUAAAAUAUCUUGGCUUUGUUGCUUCCAAGGCUGACACAUCCUUGUUUAUUUAUAACAAGGCAGGAGUAGUCAUUUUUGUGCUUAUAUAUGUUGAUGAUAUCAUAGUUGCAAGUUCUUCACAAAAUGCUACUAAUGCUCUUUUGCAUGAUUUGAGCUCAGAGUUUGCCUUGAAGGACCUAGGUGAUUUGCAUUUCUUCUUGGGUAUUGAAGUCAAGAAAACUCAAGAUGGUAUUGUGUUAAAUCAGGAAAAAUAUAUUCUUGAGCUUCUGUCUCGCAUGGGGAUGAAAAAUUGCAAGCCAAUGUCUACACCUUUAUCCUCCUCAGAAAGUCUCUCAGCAUAUGAGGGUGAGCCACUUCAAGAGGAGGAGAGUACAAGGUAUAGGAGUACUGUGGGAGCACUAUAA